RNAcentral lists this ribosomal RNA (119 nucleotides) under Pteropus alecto (black flying fox). Lineage: Eukaryota; Metazoa; Chordata; Mammalia; Chiroptera; Pteropodidae. The record is from RNAcentral. RNAcentral also lists the same sequence under 1 other name.
GUCUAUGGCCAUGCCACCCUGAACGUGCCCAAUCUUGUCUGAUCUCGGAAGCUAAGCAGGGUCAGGCCUGGUUAGUACUUGGAUGGGAGACCACCUAGGAAGACCAGGUGCUGUAGAUG